ACUUAUUGCUGUCAGCAAAGUCCUCUUUGUACUCAAAAUCAGCUUUCAGUAUCAGGGUCUGGCAGAAAGGAAGAGAUGAAGACCCCCCAAGAAUGGAGAACAAAGUUCCCCAACAUCCUGACUCAUUCCACGGAGGCCGGGUGUCUGAGGAGGAUCUGGGGCUUCUGAAGUACUCUGCUCCAAGGUUUGGGAAAGAUGGGAGUGGGGGGCUCAGGAAGAAGAUAAGUGGGCUCAGAUGGAACUCAUGGCCUCUUCAAAUUUUUUGAGAUUCCCAGUGCAUUAAAAUAAGAAAAGAUAUCAGGCAUAUUUUUAAACCAUUAAACUUAAGUUAGCCCUUUUCAUGCACAAGUAAACAAAAGAAGGUCACUGGGCUAUUCACUAGCAAAGUCCAAGACUUAUCAACAGCAGGAACUCAGAGUGCUGCUGGUGGCAAGGAGGGCCACAGCACCCGCAUGUCUGUCGACCGUGUGCGUUUGUUGGUGGUCUCUGUCACACUCAGGUAUUGCCAGGAGUUCCAGCUGAGGUACUCCCUGAAGCGGAAGCCCUCUUCUCUCUCCUCACACUGUUGGUCAUCCCAGGCCAUUUGUCUUUGCUUGUCCUACUUUGCUCUCUGGACGACAUGGGGCCUCCUCUG
RNAcentral lists this long non-coding RNA (634 nucleotides) under Marmota monax (woodchuck). The record is from RNAcentral. Lineage: Eukaryota; Metazoa; Chordata; Mammalia; Rodentia; Sciuridae.